RNAcentral lists this unclassified non-coding RNA (18 nucleotides) under Mus musculus (house mouse). RNAcentral's name for it is "oocyte_clustered_small_RNA6557". The record is from RNAcentral. Lineage: Eukaryota; Metazoa; Chordata; Mammalia; Rodentia; Muridae.
UUUCCCCAUAUUUCUUUG